Molecule: ribosomal RNA, 478 nt
Filed under: uncultured bacterium
Lineage: Bacteria
Description: partial 16S ribosomal RNA
Rfam family: Bacterial small subunit ribosomal RNA
Source: RNAcentral
GACGAACGCUGGCGGCGUGCUUAACACAUGCAAGUCGAACGGUAAGGCCCUUCGGGGUACACGAGUGGCGAACGGGUGAGUAAACCGUGGGUGAUCCGCCCUGCACUUUGGGAUAAUCCUGGGUCACUGGGCCAAAUACCGGAUAGGACCAUGCGCUUCCCGGCGGGUGGUGCAAAGCUUUUGCGUGGUGGGAUGGGCCCGCGGCCUAUCAGCUGGUUGGUGGGGUAAUUGCCUACAAAGGCGACGACGGGUAGCCGGCCUGAGAGGGUGACCGGCCACACUGGGACUGAGAUACGGCCCAGACUCCUACGGGAGGCAGCAUUGGGGAAUAUUGCACAAUGGGCACAAGCCUGAUGCAGCGACGCCGCGUGAGGAAUGACGGCCUUCGGGUUGUAAACCUCUUUCAGUAGGGACGAAGCGCAAGUGACGGUACCUACAGAAGAAGGACCGGCCAACUACGUGCCAGCCGCCGCCGUAA